This 463-nucleotide ribosomal RNA is filed under the name uncultured bacterium. Its description in RNAcentral is "partial 16S ribosomal RNA". It matches the Rfam family "Bacterial small subunit ribosomal RNA", at positions 28 to 507 of the family's 1533-position model. The record is from RNAcentral.
GAUGGACGCUGACAGAAUGCUUAACACAUGCAAGUCGAUGGGGAAGUGGUGCUUGCACCAUGGCAACCAUGGCGGACGGGUGAGUAACGCGUAAGGGACUUACCUGCAGGACUGGGAUAACAGGGGGAAACUCCUGACAAGACCGGAUAAUGUCAUGGAGCUGCAUGGCUUUAUGAUGAAAGGAGACGCCUGCGGAGAGCCUUGCGUCCUAUUAGCUAGUUGGUGAGGUAAUGGCUCACCAAGGCGAAGAUAGGUAGCCGGCCUGAGAGGGUGGACGGCCACAAGGGGACUGAGAUACGGCCCUUACUCCUACGGGAGGCAGCAGUGGGGAAUAUUGGACAAUGGGGGCAACCCUGAUCCAGCAAUUCUGUGUGAACGAAGAAGGUUUUCGGAUUGUAAAGUGCUUUCAGCAGGGAAGAAGUAAGUGACGGUACCUGCAGAAGAAGCGACGGCUAAAUACGUG